ACAACGGAUCUCUUGGUUCUGGCAUCGAUGAAGAACGCAGCGAAAUGCGAUAAGUAAUGUGAAUUGCAGAAUUCAGUGAAUCAUCGAAUCUUUGAACGCACAUUGCGCCCAUUAGUACUCUAGUGGGCAUGCCUGUUCGAGCGUCAUUACGACCCUUAAGCCUAGCUUAGUAUUGGGAACCUACGUGCGGCGGCUACCCUGUAGCUACCCUGUAGCUCCUUAAAGACAACGGCGGAGACGUGGAGUCCUCUGAGCUUAGUAACUUUUCUAGCUUCUGAGGGCGCCGCGGCCCCUGCCGUAAAACCCCCAACUCUUUAGUGGUUGACCUCGGAUCAGGUAGGAAUACCCGCUGAACUUAAGCAUAUCAAUAAGCGGAGGAAAAGAAACCAACAGGGAUUGCCUUAGUAACGGCGAGUGAAGCGGCAACAGCUCAAAUUUGAAAGCUGGCCUUCGGGUCCGCGUUGUAAUUUGUAGAGGAUGCUUUUGGUUAGGUGCCUUACGAGUUCCCUGGAACGGGACGCCUUAGAGGGUGAGAGCCCCGUACGUUUGGUUACCGAGCCUCUGUAAAGCUCCUUCGACGAGUCGAGUAGUUUGGGAAUGCUGCUCUAAAUGGGAGGUAAAUUUCUUCUAAAGCUAAAUACCGGCCAGAGACCGAUAGCGCACAAGUAGAGUGAUCGAAAGAUGAAAAGCACUUUGAAAAGAGGGUUAAAUAGCACGUGAAAUUGUUGAAAGGGAAGCGUUUAUGACCAGACUUUUUCCUGGCGGAUCAUCCGGUGUU
RNAcentral lists this ribosomal RNA (778 nucleotides) under Sordariomycetes sp. RNAcentral describes it as "eukaryotic LSU rRNA". The stretch from base 323 to 778 matches the Rfam family "Eukaryotic large subunit ribosomal RNA", at positions 1 to 460 of the family's 3401-position model. Lineage: Eukaryota; Fungi; Ascomycota; Sordariomycetes. The record is from RNAcentral.